UUCACAUCGCAAGCCCCAACAGAGCGCUUGGCACUCUGGGAUCCCUGCGCGGUCGCGAGCGCGGCCGACGCCGUCGAGAUCGACGCGGAUGCUUCUGGGGGAGCUGUGCCCCUCCAGGAAUGCCCAUCCGACCACCGAUGGGAGGCCUCCCUGUCGAGUGCGGGCUAGAAGGAGAGGGGCGAAC
RNAcentral lists this ribosomal RNA (184 nucleotides) under Strombidinopsis acuminata. RNAcentral's name for it is "partial Archaeal small subunit ribosomal RNA". The record is from RNAcentral. Lineage: Eukaryota; Ciliophora; Spirotrichea; Choreotrichida; Strombidinopsidae.